CGGAGGGGGCGAGCGUUGUCCGAAGUUACUGGGCGUAAAGCGCGCGUAGGCGGGUCAGCAAGUCCGCUGUGAAAGCCCGAGGCUUAACCUCGGCGGGUCGGUGGAUACUGUUGGUCUUGAAGGUGUUAGGGGGAGAUGGAAUGACCGGUGUAGCGGUGAAAUGCGUAGAUAUCGGUCGGAACACCAGUGGCGAAGGCGGUCUCCUGGGGCAUUCUUGACGCUGAUGCGCGAAAGCUGGGGGAGCGAACGGGAUUAGAUACCCCGGUAGUCCCAGCCCUAAACGAUGGAUACUAGGUGUCGGGGGUAUCGACCCCCCCGGUGCCGUCGCUAACGCAGUAAGUAUCCCGCCUGGGGAGUACGGCCGCAAGGUUG
This 372-nucleotide ribosomal RNA is filed under the name uncultured organism. Its description in RNAcentral is "bacterial SSU rRNA". It matches the Rfam family "Bacterial small subunit ribosomal RNA", at positions 526 to 896 of the family's 1533-position model. The record is from RNAcentral.